This 73-nucleotide transfer RNA is filed under the name Spirochaetota bacterium. RNAcentral's name for it is "Spirochaetes bacterium (freshwater sediment metagenome) tRNA-Lys". It matches the Rfam family "tRNA". From Rfam's summary of the family: Transfer RNA (tRNA) molecules are approximately 80 nucleotides in length. Their secondary structure includes four short double-helical elements and three loops (D, anti-codon, and T loops). Further hydrogen bonds mediate the characteristic L-shaped molecular structure. tRNAs have two regions of fundamental functional importance: the anti-codon, which is responsible for specific mRNA codon recognition, and the 3' end, to which the tRNAs corresponding amino acid is attached (by aminoacyl-tRNA synthetases). tRNAs cope with the degeneracy of the genetic code in two manners: having more than one tRNA (with a specific anti-codon) for a particular amino acid; and 'wobble' base-pairing, i.e. permitting non-standard base-pairing at the 3rd anti-codon position. Lineage: Bacteria; Pseudomonadati; Spirochaetota. The record is from RNAcentral.
GGGUAGCUAGCUCAAUUGGCAGAGCAACUGACUCUUAAUCAGUAGGUUCCGAGUUCGAUUCUCGGGCUACCCA